This 350-nucleotide long non-coding RNA is filed under the name Triticum aestivum (bread wheat). Its description in RNAcentral is "long non-coding RNA (TAES_LNC002403)". Lineage: Eukaryota; Viridiplantae; Streptophyta; Magnoliopsida; Poales; Poaceae. The record is from RNAcentral.
AAGCAAACUAAAACACCAUAUCACAGCAACCAUCCAACCAUAGCUCCAAUAGUAAGAAAAAGAAAAGCAUGAUGAACAAACAAAAAUCAGUUCACGGGCAGAGCUCCCUCAUUCCUCCAUUACACCAUGAGAAGAGCAAUCAUGUCCAUGGGCAAAACUAAGCAACUAACCUGCAUCAUAAGAUUCACAUAAUCAAAAACGGCUAGCAUUGGCACAUUGUUGCCAAUGCAGAAUGGUGUAUAAUUUGCAAUUCCCCAAUUAGAAACUACCUAUAACUUCACACCAGCAACCAUCCAACUCGAUCACCCAAAUCCCCCACUACACAGACAGAAGAGCUACUGUAUCAGCGG